CAGCCCUUGACAUCCCGAUCGCGGACAGUGGAGACAUUGUCCUUCAGUUAGGCUGGAUCGGAGACAGGUGCUGCAUGGCUGUCGUCAGCUCGUGUCGUGAGAUGUUGGGUUAAGUCCCGCAACGAGCGCAACCCUCGCCUCUAGUUGCCAUCAUUCAGUUGGGCACUCUAGAGGGACUGCCGGUGAUAAGCCGAGAGGAAGGUGGGGAUGACGUCAAGUCCUCAUGGCCCUUAUGACCUGGGCUACACACGUACUACAAUGGCCGGUACAACGGGCGGCGAAGGGGCGACCCCCAGCCAAUCCCGAAAAGCCGUCUCAGUUCGGAUUGUACUCUGCAACUCGAGUGCA
This 348-nucleotide ribosomal RNA is filed under the name uncultured maize rhizosphere bacterium c9_68. Its description in RNAcentral is "bacterial SSU rRNA". It matches the Rfam family "Bacterial small subunit ribosomal RNA", at positions 975 to 1320 of the family's 1533-position model. The record is from RNAcentral.